GACGAACGCUGGCGGCGUGCCUAAUACAUGCAAGUAGAACGCUGAAGGAGGAGCUUGCUUCUCUGGAUGAGUUGCGAACGGGUGAGUAACGCGUAGGUAACCUGCCUGGUAGCGGGGGAUAACUAUUGGAAACGAUAGCUAAUACCGCAUAACAGUAGAUAUUGCAUGAUAUCUGCUUAAAAGGUGCAAUUGCAUCACUACCAGAUGGACCUGCGUUGUAUUAGCUAGUUGGUGGGGUAACGGCUCACCAAGGCAACGAUACAUAGCCGACCUGAGAGGGUGAUCGGCCACACUGGGACUGAGACACGGCCCAGACUCCUACGGGAGGCAGCAGUAGGGAAUCUUCGGCAAUGGACGAAAGUCUGACCGAGCAACGCCGCGUGAGUGAAGAAGGUUUUCGGAUCGUAAAGCUCUGUUGUAAGAGAAGAACGAGUGUGAGAGUGGAAAGUUCACACUGUGACG
This 462-nucleotide ribosomal RNA is filed under the name Streptococcus sp. oral taxon 431. Its description in RNAcentral is "bacterial SSU rRNA". It matches the Rfam family "Bacterial small subunit ribosomal RNA", at positions 28 to 474 of the family's 1533-position model. The record is from RNAcentral. Lineage: Bacteria; Bacillati; Bacillota; Bacilli; Lactobacillales; Streptococcaceae.